UCUCUGAUUUUGCAGAUAAGGACU
RNAcentral lists this microRNA (24 nucleotides) under Glycine max (soybean). RNAcentral's name for it is "gma-miR10188". The record is from miRBase by way of RNAcentral. Lineage: Eukaryota; Viridiplantae; Streptophyta; Magnoliopsida; Fabales; Fabaceae.